This 1407-nucleotide long non-coding RNA is filed under the name Athene cunicularia (burrowing owl). Its description in RNAcentral is "lncRNA (ENSACUG00000000552.1)". Lineage: Eukaryota; Metazoa; Chordata; Aves; Strigiformes; Strigidae. The record is from RNAcentral.
CUGGGUUGUUGAUUUUUUUUCUUCUUUUUUCUUUUUUCCGUGGGUAUUUUUAUCCUUUCGUCCUUCCCUCUCUAGGCUUGUGGGUGCAUGUUGCAGACGCCGGUGCCUGUGGGUGCAGGCAGAAGGAGGGAGAGCUGGGUGGAGGUUUGGACCACAAUCAGGCAAAUGACGUGGGGCCUGAGUGCAGUUCAUAUUGCUGCUGUGCUCAUCGAGCCCAAUCACAGCUCAAAAACAGGAUGAGAAACGGUUUUUCUUCAGGCAACAAGUAGGAGUUUACCUGCCUCGUCCCCUCUGACGCUGCCUGCGCUGACGACCCGUGGCUGGCGUGGGGCUGGGCCAGGCCUGGGCAGCACGGCAGGGCUUGGUGGCAGCUGCAGCAUCGCUUCGUGUGCUGGAUUUGUUAGGAUCUGCAGUUUCUCUCUGCACGGCUGGGCCGGCAGUUUCCUACACCCCAUGGAGGGUUCAGCGCUGCCAGGCAGUGACAAGCCUGCACUGGCUCCAUUAGUUUAAAAUGAGGAUUGCAGACUGGACCUCACCCGAGUUUACUGAGAUGGAGAUGCAGGAAGGGAAUCAAUCCUGCUGUCAGAGGAGGCACCCCAGUGCUGGCUCUGCGUUUCAGUGCCUUGUGGACAUACCUGCAGGAGCACUGCUAAGCCAUCCCUGCCUUUCCCCCCUCUUCCCUGCACCCAGCUCAGCCAAGCAGGCUUGAUAUGUGUAUUUUUUUCUUUUUCAGACAGUUCCUUUCCUUUUCUCUAUAUUUAGAAUAAUUCACCUCUUUUUACACAUCUCCCUUCUCAUUCUUGGCCAUGUGUCCCUAUGGCCUUCCCCGUUCUCCUUCACCGAGGCCGCAGAAAGAACCUCUGGCCUGUGUUCCCCCCAACCCACCGUCCCACUCCACGGGCCUGGGAGCCCAAGCCCGUGGGCACUGCGCCUGCACCAGGCAGGUGGCAACCACGGACCUGGAGAGAGGUGAGAGAAGCAUGAGAGGGGUUAAAAAUGACAACAUGAACAUCAGACUGGUUUCUUGCAGCCUUCAGGACACACCCCUGCCUUUCUCUGCAGCUGUGAGGACCAAGGACCUUCAUGCAAACUGCCUAAGCGUUUAUGACGGAGCAGCCACCUCGCAGCCCCUGGGGCGUGACGUUCAUCUGACGUUCAGUUCGGGGAGGAGCCCAGUUCAGCACCCUGAGCAUCAUCCCCAACACCGAACUACCAGGUUUUUCUCUUUUUUAGCCUAAGGUAGGAAAACCUCUAUGGUCCUCUGUUCUUGUCCCAGACAGGGCAAGCUAGAAGUGCUUGAAACUGUCUGUUUUUAUUAAACUAAGCAUUUUAAACAGAUGAGGCACUUAGCUAUUCAAACUAGAAAUUAAUUAGAAAACUAAAUAAACAGCACAUAAAGUCAGGGCA